Molecule: unclassified non-coding RNA, 209 nt
Filed under: plant metagenome
Description: partial contains small subunit ribosomal RNA, internal transcribed spacer 1, and 5.8S ribosomal RNA
Source: RNAcentral
UCUCCGUUGGUGAACCAGCGGAGUGAUCAUUACUGGAAUCGCAAGAUCCCACAACCCUGUGAACCUACCGAAACGUUGCCUCGGCGGGUGCCCGGCCUCUGCGCCGGGCGCUGCGCCCGCCGGCGGCCCCCUACUCUGUCUCUGCAGCGUGGCAUCUCAGAGUCCCAGAAAACAAGUCAAAACUUUCAACAACGGAUCUCUUGGCUCUA